AGAAAGAUGUUCCAAUAGAACAGCUGCUAACAAAGUUCUCUUCUAUAGAUAGCCCUGUACUUCCUUGUUUAUGUUAUACUCCACUGGAUGCUUGCUGAAUGUUAAAGUUGGACCAAAUAUUUCAUGUAAAGCACCAUACAUUGCAGAGAAUUAUCUGGGGUCUAAUGAUCACUUGUCUGAGAAAGCUUGCAAGAAGACUUCAUGGAUUUUGUGGAAAAGGUGAAGCCCUGUGGGAUUUGAAAAAAAUAGGAAUUUCUUCCAAGUUAAAAGUAACUAUUGAA
This 281-nucleotide long non-coding RNA is filed under the name Fukomys damarensis (Damara mole-rat). Its description in RNAcentral is "lncRNA (ENSFDAG00000024791.1)". Lineage: Eukaryota; Metazoa; Chordata; Mammalia; Rodentia; Bathyergidae. The record is from RNAcentral.